RNAcentral lists this ribosomal RNA (253 nucleotides) under uncultured bacterium. Its description in RNAcentral is "partial 16S ribosomal RNA". It matches the Rfam family "Bacterial small subunit ribosomal RNA", at positions 524 to 776 of the family's 1533-position model. The record is from RNAcentral.
UACGUAGGGGGCUAGCGUUGUCCGGAAUCAUUGGGCGUAAAGCGCGUGUAGGCGGCCCGAUAAGUCCGCUGUGAAAGUCCAGGGCUCAACCCUGGAAUGCCGGUGGAAACUGUCGGGCUGGAGUCCGGAAGAGGCGAGUGGAAUUCCUGGUGUAGCGGUGAAAUGCGCAGAUAUCAGGAGGAACACCAAUGGCGAAGGCAGCUCGCUGGGACGGUACUGACGCUGAGACGCGAAAGCGUGGGGAGCAAACAGG